GACGAACGCUGGCGGCGUGCUUAACACAUGCAAGUCGAACGGAAAGGCCCCUUUGGGGGUACUCGAGUGGCGAACGGGUGAGUAACACGUGCGUAACCUGCCCUUGACUUCGGGAUAACUUCAGGAAACUGGGGCUAAUACCGGAUAGGAAUCCUUGCUGCAUGGUGGGGGUUGGAAAGCUUCGGCGGUUUUGGAUGGACUCGCGGCUUAUCAGCUUGUUGGUGGGGUAGUGGCUUACCAAGGCUUUGACGGGUAGCCGGCCUGAGAGGGCGACCGGCCACAUUGGGACUGAGAUACGGCCCAGACUCCUACGGGAGGCAGCAGUGGGGAAUAUUGCACAAUGGGCGGAAGCCUGAUGCAGCAACGCCGCGUGCGGGAUGACGGCCUUCGGGUUGGAAACCGCUUUCAGCAGGGGCGAAGCUUGUGGUGACGGUACCUGCAGAAGAAGCACCGGCUAACUACGUG
Molecule: ribosomal RNA, 465 nt
Filed under: uncultured bacterium
Lineage: Bacteria
Description: partial 16S ribosomal RNA
Rfam family: Bacterial small subunit ribosomal RNA
Source: RNAcentral